AGUGAACGCUGGCGGUAGGCCUAACACAUGCAAGUCGAACGGCAGCACAGUAAGAGCUUGCUCUUACGGGUGGCGAGUGGCGGACGGGUGAGGAAUACAUCGGAAUCUACUUUUUCGUGGGGGAUAACGUAGGGAAACUUACGCUAAUACCGCAUACGACCUACGGGUGAAAGCAGGGGAUCUUCGGACCUUGCGCGAUUGUAUGAGCCGAUGUCGGAUUAGCUAGUUGGCGGGGUAAAGGCCCACCAAGGCGACGAUCCGUAGCUGGUCUGAGAGGAUGAUCAGCCACACUGGAACUGAGACACGGUCCAGACUCCUACGGGAGGCAGCAGUGGGGAAUAUUGGACAAUGGGCGCAAGCCUGAUCCAGCAAUACCGCGUGGGUGAAGAAGGCCUUCGGGUUGUAAAGCCCUUUUGUUGGGAAAGAAAAGCAGCAGGUUAAUACCCCGCUGUUCUGACGGUACCCAAAGAAUAAGCACCGGCUAACUUCGUG
This 492-nucleotide ribosomal RNA is filed under the name uncultured bacterium. RNAcentral describes it as "partial 16S ribosomal RNA". It matches the Rfam family "Bacterial small subunit ribosomal RNA", at positions 29 to 507 of the family's 1533-position model. The record is from RNAcentral.